AGAGUUUGAUCAUGGCUCAGAACGAACGCUGGCGGCGUGCUUAACACAUGCAAGUCGAGUGCGCGGUUGUAGCAAUACAACUGGCGCACGGCGCACGGGUGCGUAACACGUGGGUAAUCUGCCCUUCGAUGGGGAAUAACUCGCCGAAAGGCGAGCUAAUUCCGCAUAACAUUCCGGGGACUUUGGUCUUCGGAUUCAAAGGCGUAAGUCGUCGGAGGAGGAGCCCGCGCACGAUUAGCUAGUUGGUAGGGUAACGGCCUACCAAGGCUUUGAUCGUUAGCUGGUCUGAGAGGAUGGCCAGCCACACUGGAACUGAGACACGGUCCAGACUCCUACGGGAGGCAGCAGUGGGGAAUCUUGCACAAUGGGCGAAAGCCUGAUGCAGCGACGCCGCGUGGGGGAUGAAGCUUCUCGGAGUGUAAACCCCUUUCGACCCGGACGAAUGCCCCGCAAGGGGACUGACGGUACGGGUAUAAGAAGCCCCGGCUAACUACGUGCCAGCAGCCGCGGUAAGACGUAGGGGGCCAGCGUUGUUCGGAAUUACUGGGUGUAAAGGGUUCGUAGGCGGUGUGGCAAGUCGGGAGUGAAAUCUCUGGGCUCAACUCAGAGACUGCUUCCGAAACUGCUGUGCUGGAGUGUGGGAGAGGCGCGUGGAAUUGCAGGUGUAGCGGUGAAAUGCGUAGAUAUCUGCAGGAACACCCGUGGCGAAAGCGGCGCGCUGGACCACUACUGACGCUGAGGAACGAAAGCUAGGGGAGCAAACAGGAUUAGAUACCCUGGUAGUCCUAGCCCUAAACGAUCACGACUUGGGGUGCCACCCGUUCGGGUGUCGUCCCGGAGCUAACGCGUUAAGUCCUGCACCUGGGGAGUACGUCGCAAGACUGAAACUCAAAGGAAUUGACGGGGCCCGCACAAGCGGUGGAACAUGUGGUUCAAUUCGA
This 941-nucleotide ribosomal RNA is filed under the name uncultured bacterium. RNAcentral describes it as "bacterial SSU rRNA". It matches the Rfam family "Bacterial small subunit ribosomal RNA", at positions 8 to 954 of the family's 1533-position model. The record is from RNAcentral.